This 520-nucleotide ribosomal RNA is filed under the name uncultured bacterium. Its description in RNAcentral is "bacterial SSU rRNA". It matches the Rfam family "Bacterial small subunit ribosomal RNA", at positions 65 to 570 of the family's 1533-position model. The record is from RNAcentral.
AGGGGCAGCGGUGGUGAAGGCUUGCCUUUACCAGCCGGCGACCGGCGCACGGGUGAGUAACACGUAUGCAACCUGCCUGCCACAGCCGGAUAAUCGGGAGAAAUUCCGUCUAAUACGGCAUAAUGCACCUAUGGGACAUCCUGUUGGUGCCAAAGGUUAAUUCCGGCGGCGGAUGGGCAUGCGUCGCAUUAGUUAGUUGGCGGUGUAACGGACCACCAAGACGACGAUGCGUAGGGGUUCUGAGAGGAAGGUCCCCCACACUGGUACUGAGACACGGACCAGACUCCUACGGGAGGCAGCAGUGAGGAAUAUUGGUCAAUGGGCGGGAGCCUGAACCAGCCAAGUCGCGUGAGGGAUGACGGCCCUAUGGGUUGUAAACCUCUUUUGCCGGGGAGCAAAGUGCCGCACGUGUGCGGUUUGGAGAGUACCCGGAGAAAAAGCAUCGGCUAACUCCGUGCCAGCAGCCGCGGUAAUACGGAGGAUGCGAGCGUUAUCCGGAUUUAUUGGGUUUAAAGGGUGC